UCGGGAAUUUUGGGCAAUGGGGGAAACCCUGACCCAGCAACGCCGCGUGAAGGAUGAAGUAUUUCGGUAUGUAAACUUCGAAAGAAUAGGAAGAAUAAAUGACGGUACUAUUUAUAAGGUCCGGCUAACUACGUGCCAGCAGCCGCGGUAAUACGUAGGGACCAAGCGUUGUUCGGAUUUACUGGGCGUAAAGGGCGCGUAGGCGGCAUGACAAGUCACUUGUGAAAUCUCUGGGCUUAACCCAGAACGGCCAAGUGAUACUGUCGCGCUAGAGUGCAGAAGGGGCAAUCGGAAUUCUUGGUGUAGCGGUGAAAUGCGUAGAUAUCAAGAGGAACACCUGAGGUGAAGACGGGUUGCUGGGCUGACACUGACGCUGAGGCGCGAAAGCCGGGGGAGCAAACGGGAUUAGAUACCCGCGUAGUCCCUGAGCGGGCUGGCAAGGCGCAU
Molecule: ribosomal RNA, 447 nt
Filed under: uncultured bacterium
Lineage: Bacteria
Description: bacterial SSU rRNA
Rfam family: Bacterial small subunit ribosomal RNA
Source: RNAcentral